RNAcentral lists this non-coding RNA (27 nucleotides) under Homo sapiens (human). The record is from RNAcentral. Lineage: Eukaryota; Metazoa; Chordata; Mammalia; Primates; Hominidae.
UGAGGAGGGUGUGUGGGAAGAAUGGAG